GAGGGUAUAGCUCAAAGUGGUAGAGCACAUGCUUAGCAUGCACAAGGUCCUGGGUUCAAUACCCCCAGUACCGCCU
Camelus ferus (Wild Bactrian camel) is the source of this 76-nucleotide non-coding RNA. Lineage: Eukaryota; Metazoa; Chordata; Mammalia; Artiodactyla; Camelidae. The record is from Rfam.